UGGGGAAUAUUGCACAAUGGGCGAAAGCCUGAUGCAGCGACGCCGCGUGAGGGAUGACGGCCUUCGGGUUGUAAACCUCUUUCAGCAGGGAAGAAGCGAAAGUGACGGUACCUGCAGAAGAAGCGCCGGCUAACUACGUGCCAGCAGCCGCGGUAAUACGUAGGGCGCAAGCGUUGUCCGGAAUUAUUGGGCGUAAAGAGCUCGUAGGCGGUUAGUCGCGUCUGCUGUGAAAGCUCGAGGCUCAACCUCGGGCUUGCAGUGGGUACGGGCUGACUAGAGUGCGGUAGGGGUGACUGGAAUUCCUGGUGUAGCGGUGGAAUGCGCAGAUAUCAGGAGGAACACCGAUGGCGAAGGCAGGUCACUGGGCCGCAACUGACGCUGAGGAGCGAAAGCAUGGGGAGCGAACAGGAUUAGAUACCCUGGUAGUCCAUGCCGUAAACGUUGGGCACUAGGUGUGGGGUCCAUUCCACGGAUUCCGUGCCGCAGCAAACGCAUUAAGUGCCCCGCCUGGGGAGUACGGCCGCAAGGCUAAAACUCAAAGGAAUUGACGGGGUCAUAGCUGUUUCCUG
This 569-nucleotide ribosomal RNA is filed under the name uncultured bacterium. RNAcentral describes it as "partial 16S ribosomal RNA". It matches the Rfam family "Bacterial small subunit ribosomal RNA", at positions 355 to 1376 of the family's 1533-position model. The record is from RNAcentral.